GUGCCAGCCGCCGCGGUAAUACCGGCGCCUCAAGUGGUAGUCGCUCUUAUUGGGCCUAAAACGUCCGUAGCCGGUCUGGUACAUUCGUGGGUAAAUCAACUCGCUCAACGAGUUGAAUUCUGCGAGGACGGCCAGACUUGGGACCGGGAGAGGUGUGGGGUACUCUCAGGGUAGGGGUAAAAUCCUGUCAUCCUUCGAGGACCACCAGUUGCGAAGGCGCCACACUGGAACGGAUCCGACGGUCAGGGACGAAGCCUAGGGGCACGAACCGGAUUAGAUACCCGGGUAGUCCUAGGUGUAAACGCUGUGAACUUGGUGUCGGGGGUCCGCAAGGGGUCCCCGGUGCCGGAGUGAAGAUGUUAAGUUCACUGCCUGGGGAGUACGGUCGCAAGGCUGAAACUUAAAGGAAUUGGCGGGGGAGCACUGCAACGGGAGGAGCGUGCGGCUUAAUUGGAUUCAACGCCGGAAAACUCACCAGGGCCGACUGUUAUAUGAAGACCAGCGUAAUGAGCUUGUCGGAUUUUCAGAGAGGUGGUGCAUGGCCGUCGUCAGUUCGUACUGUAAAGCGUUCUGUUAAGUCAGAUAACGAACGAGACCCUCAUCUCUAUUUGCAACCUGUCUCUCCGGAGGCGGCGCACUAUAGAGAGACCGCUGGUGUGAAACCAGAGGAAGGCGAGGGCAACGACAGGUCAGUAUGCCCCGAAUGUCCUGGGCUACACGCGCGCUACAAAGGACGGGACAGUGGGAAGCCAGGCCGAGAGGUCGAGCUAACCCGAAACCCGUUCAUAGUUCGGAUUGAGGGCUGUAACUCGCCCUCAUGAAGCUGGAUUCCGUAGUAAUCGUGUUUCAAUAUAGCACGGUGAAUAUGCCCCUGCUCCUUGCACACACCGCCCGUC
This 896-nucleotide ribosomal RNA is filed under the name uncultured marine archaeon. RNAcentral describes it as "SSU rRNA". It matches the Rfam family "Archaeal small subunit ribosomal RNA", at positions 455 to 1354 of the family's 1478-position model. The record is from RNAcentral.